GGGCCCGCACAAGCAGUGGAGUAUGUGGAUUAAUUCGAUGCAACGCGAAGAACCUUACCAGGUCUUGACAUCGUGCGCAUAGCCUAGAGAUAGGUGAAGUCUUCGGACGCACAGACAGGUGGUGCAUGGUUGUCGUCAGCUCGUGUCGUGAGAUGUUGGGUUAAGUCCCGCAACGAGCGCAACCCUUAUCGUCAGUUACUACGCAAGAGGACUCUGGCGAGACUGCCGUUGACAAAACGGAGGAAGGUGGGGAUGAUGUCAAAUCAGCAUGCCCUUUAUGACCUGGGCUUCACACGUACUACAAUGGCCGUCAACAGAGAGAGGCGAAGGAGCGAUCUGGAGCAAAACUCAGAAAACGGUCUCAGUUCGGAUUGUAGGCUGCAACCGCCUGCAUGAAGCCGGAAUUGCUAGUAAUCGCGGAUCAGCAUGCCG
RNAcentral lists this ribosomal RNA (432 nucleotides) under uncultured Bacillota bacterium. Its description in RNAcentral is "bacterial SSU rRNA". It matches the Rfam family "Bacterial small subunit ribosomal RNA", at positions 917 to 1359 of the family's 1533-position model. Lineage: Bacteria; Bacillati; Bacillota. The record is from RNAcentral.